RNAcentral lists this long non-coding RNA (7612 nucleotides) under Sorghum bicolor (sorghum). RNAcentral's name for it is "long non-coding RNA (SBIC_LNC007500)". The record is from RNAcentral. Lineage: Eukaryota; Viridiplantae; Streptophyta; Magnoliopsida; Poales; Poaceae.
UCCAACUCCUACGUCAACCUCGCCAUCUUCCAGCCGGACACCGGCCGCGCCCACGUCGCCGCCGUCGUCGGCGCGGACGCCGAGCGCCUCGUCCACCUCUUCUGCGUCGUCCCCAGGCAGAAGCUCGUCCACGACGACCUGCUCUUCCACUACUCCGACCAGGACCUCGUCGACGACCUCGCCAGCUCCGAGGCGUCGCUCCGGGACGCCCGCCGCGGCGUGUUCGACGACGCCCAGCCGUGGAGGCGCAAGAUCCAGCGCCUCAUCCCGCCCGACGGCAUCACGGUCAAGCACAUCAGGUACUUACUACUACCGUGUCACUGGAGUUUCUGUGCCAUCCAAAACAGUUCACUCUAUCUAUAUUGCUUCAUCAACAAUUGCAUAGAUGAUAAAUGGAAUCCCAGCAACGAGCACGAGCACGAGCAGCUCACAAACGGGCAGCAAUCAUAUUAUGCUCCACCCACCCACUAGGUGAAAAAUAAUCUAUGCAAGCAAAAUGUGGACAGUAGCUUCAGACUUUUUCUUUCUUUCCUUCUUUUCCAUUGUUGUUUGUAUGUACUCCGUAUGUAAAGCAUGCUCACAGACCGAAUCAGACAUCAAACUCACCAAUAGUAUAUAUAUCAUGAUGAGGUGAUAUAUUGUAACCCCACAAUUGAGGUCUUCUUAUUGAUCAUUUACAGUUGCAGUACUUGUUUUAUAGGACCUAUCUUGUAACCAAACAAUACACAAUACAAUACAUACCAAACCAGACCUUAUCUAGUUUGGUUGAAAAGUAACAGAGACUACCUAGCUAGUUUAUGAAACCUCUUAACAAUGAGUCUCAAGUCUACAAGUCUGUGGCGUUUCAGUUUGAAGACGGCAGACCUGAAUUGCAUCUUUGUACUGCAGGACAGGAGAGGAUGUGGCGCUAUCCAGGCGCAUAGCAGCAACGUUCCUCCUCAUGACCAUAGCAGACUUCAGUGACCAGCUCUUCGACUGGCAGGACCGCCUCUUCGACAACACCAACGGCCGCCUCGAGUUCAGUGGCAACACCUGGACCUCCCUCUGGCCUGGCACCGGCAAGCCUGGCCUCUGGGUCACCUCUAGCUCCCGCAUGGGCGCACUCUACACCUUAAUCAUCCGCGAGGAGGAGAUAUACAUCACGCAACGAGCACAUGGCAUCAGCCGACAAGGAAGCAAUGGCUCUGCUGGACGAGAUGAGGACAUCGACCUGGUGAUCCCCCCGGUGUUCAAAGGCUGCACCAAAGUGCUCAACGCUGAUGACCAGAAGGUGGCACGAGACCUCUACUGGGAGGCAGUAUGCAGCGGCGAUGAGGCGUCAGACUGGCUCAAAGUGGAGGAGCUCCUUCAGCAGAGCAUUGCCAAGAACCCAUUUGUAGGAGAACCACACUUGGUGCUUGCACAGGUGUACCUUAACAUGGAGAGGUAUGGCGAUGCGCAGAUGCAGGCAGAGGAAGGUCUCAAGCUGUUGCUGGAGUGGGGCAGCAGCUGGGACAAGAGAAUGACAUGGGAGGGGUGGGUGUCUUGGGGCAGGGCGAUGCUGACCAAGGCCAGCGAGAAGGAUUGGCCUCAUACUGCAUUCGGCAUCAUCAACCUAGGGCUUGUCAAAUGAUCAGGACUCAUCCCCAAAUGGCGGAUGGAUGGUUAUGUAGGCUGCAGCUGCCGAUGCUGAUCCGACAUGUCAUCUUCUCAGAAUAUGUAUAUCACCUGCUGUAUUUGUACGAAAUAAUAAACCCAUGGUCAGUCAAAAUGGACUAUGCUAGAAAAUAAGGAAACUAGUCUAUUCAUAGGUUCAUCUUACCUAAUUUAGUUCAGCCGCCGCUUGUACUUGGAUAUUCAGAUAUUAAUGUGAAAUAAAGCACUGGAAGUGAAACAACAUAACCCAUUCCAUCGUAUAGAUAGACUGAAAGUGGAAUAUCUCCUCCUUUUCCGUUCCUGAAGGAGACUGCUAAUUGCAAAGAAUUUUUUGAGAUUUAAUUCAACAACAAUUAAGCCUUUAUGGCACUAUUGGGUCUUCACACUUGAUGCAACAAAUUGGUAAUUAUCCUAUAGAUCUAGUAUUGACGAAGAUGCAUCAUCUACUCAAAGGUCACAACAAAAUAUUCAGAUGUGUUAUCAGCACAUCAAACAUAACUUGUCUGCAGCAAACACCGAUCAUAAAAGAUAUCCAGCAUAUGACUAGUUUGCAACUCUUGAAGCUGUUCAUGAAGUAGUCUUAUCCAUUUCUCUCCUUCUUCUUUUUUCUCUAAGUAAGCAGGAGAUCUGCGUGUCAUUUCUUUAAGAUAGAGUAGUCUUGUCUAUUUCUUCCAAAAAAUUUAGAUGUGUUAAAAACUAUAGACAAGCAUAGACGCAAAAGGCAACACGAAUAUCUAAACUGUAGGUUGCCAUUUGGGCCCCUAAGCUUGAUGACUACAUAUUAGAUGUUGAGACUUGAAACUUGUAUAAGCAAGGUAUGUUCAAAACCAAACGGAAAUCAGCAACUAUUGAUGUUAGGGCUUUUUAAAAUUAAAUUAUGUAUCGUACGAGUCAAACUCCAUACAGAAAAGGGGGUAACAGUAGAGCUGAACUAUGUUCUUGCUAAGUCCAAUCAAUAGAACGCAAGGAAAAGUUGUCCAAAGAUACAAGAAACACUAUUCAAGUCUAUGUGUCAGAUUGGCCUUUGAUUUUAUAGGAUGAGUUAUGUAGUUGACUGAACCAAUAUGUCCUAUCAACUAUCAUCUCUACUUACCGAUUAACUAGAGCAAACUUUUUCUUCACCGAGUCAUACAAGUACAGGUCAAGAAUGCAGUUUAUGAGUUCGGAUCCAAAAGAUAUAUGUAUGCAACUAUGGGAACAUAUGUUGCACUGUACCAACAUACAGUUUAUGAGUAGAGUUGGGCCUUGUUUAGUUCACCCUGAAAACCAAAAAGUUUUCAAGAUUUUCCGUCACAUCGAAUCUUGUGACACAUGCAUGACACAUUAAAUAUAGACAAAAAUAAAUACUAAAUACACAGUUUAGCCGCAAAUCACGAGACGAAUCUUUUGAUCCUAGUUAGUCCAUGAUUGGAUAAUAUUUGUCACAAACAAACGAAAGUGCUACAGUACCGAAAAGUUUUCACUUUUCGGAACUAAACAAGGCCUUGAUUGCAUUAGCAUCACCACAGAUAAGCACCAAGGCAUCAAGUAUAAAGCUAACUAGCUUGUCUAUCUAUAGCAAAACAUUCCACCCUUGUUGCCAAUCUUGGAGCCACGCACAACCACCAUUGUCACUUUAUCAGUCAGGACGGACCACGCACAAAGCCACGUGGUAGCACCAGAUUGGCAAACAGUAGCAAAAACACUCUCAGCUCGCGGAUGCCAGGAGCUAUAUGGAGUUUAAUAUAUUAAUAUUAAUAUGCAUGUUGAUGAACACAGAUAAAGCAAGCAUCCAAGUUUUCUUAUAGCAACAUACCCAUGGAAAACUCCAAUAACAACUAGAGCUUUUACUUUUUUCUUAUAGCAACGCACCCAUGGAAAACUCCAAUAACCAACUAGAGCUUUUAUUGAAAGAAUCAAAGAACAAGAUCUUCUUAACGACCAGUAAUAUAUCCAAAAUCUUGGUUGGAAACUCUUGAAGCCCUUCAUGAACCAUCCUUGUUAGUUUUAUCAGGAAAUGGUUGGGUUUGCUAACACAUCCAGACUCUUCACAUGAAUAGAAAGGUGGAAAGUAAUUUGUCUGUAGCAAAACCAACCUAAGAAAAGGCCAAAAAUCCUAGUCAUUGACACGCCAGCCACAUACUUAUUACUUCUACCAGAAAAGCUUGGAUGUAUUAACAUGCUCUCUUCAUACAUAAGCAUCAACAAAAGAGGUUGCAACUAAUUUGUCUAUAGCAAAACUACCCUGAGGAAAAGUCUAGCAUCCUAGUUGGCAGAUGUUAAUAGCCAGUUCACUCACCCUGAUUACCACUGCCUUCAUUAUUAUGUUGGACAGAUUAACACGCCAAGAGGAUUAUAAAUUCGCACCCACCCUCACAAGUCCCUAUCAGAUUCAGACAUCAUCACCUACUACAAAAUCUUGCAUCAGCAUGGCUACCCAACAAGGUUUCAGUUCUACCGACCUGAAAACCCAUAGGAAGAACCUACCAUCCCUCCUUGCAGUUGCUCAACCAUUCCUUCGCGGUGAGCUAGAGAAAAUCGACCCAGAGAUCCCAUCCUUUCUCUCCAUCCUACGCUCAGCCGGUGCCGGUGAGCGUCACCACAAGAACGGAGCAUUCCUAGCUCACCUGCUCAAUUUCCAUCGCAUUGUCCGACUGUGGGGUGCGCCCUCUGACAUUGCUCGAUGUGGCCUUUUCCACUCAUCGUAUGCCAAUUCAUACGUCAACGUCUCCAUCUUCGAAUCAAGCACGACCCGCGAGGACGUGCAGCGUCUCAUCGGUGCACCAGUUGAACGACUAGCUUUCCUAUUCUGCGCUGUCCCGCGCCACAAGCUCAUCCACGAAGAGCUCCACUUCCAGUACACCGACACGGAGCUGAGGGAUCACCUAGCUGCCUCUGACCUGUCCAUCAAGGCAGCUAGGGAGACUGGCACAUUUGACGCCUCUGAGGCAUGGCGCGAGAAGAUCUGCAAGCUUCUUCCACCAAAGGGCAUGGAAGCAAGGCACUUCAAAACUGGUGAACCCAUAUCACUUUCACGCAGGAUCAUAGCACUCUUUGUUCUGAUGACUAUCGCCGACAUCUGCGACCAGUACAUUGACUACCAAGACAAGCUGUAUGAUAACGAGAAUGGCCGGCUGGAGUUCCGCGGCGACAACUGGGGUGCUCUGUGGCCAGGAACUUGCAAGCCCGGUCUCUGGAUGAAUGCAGCAUCAAGGCUGGGAGUUCUGUACAACCUCAUCAUUAGAGAGGAAGAGCUUUACACUCAGGAGAGGAACAAGAUGGGAGAGACUAUCCGGCUCGACCGAGACGAAGAAAUCAUGCUGGUGAUCCCGCCGGUCUUCAACUACUGCACCAAGGUGCUGGAUCCCAAGGAGCAAAUAGCUGCGAGGGACCUUUACUGGGAGGCCAUAUGCAGUGAUGACAGGAAGGAAAGAGACUGGGAGAAAGUGGAGAAGGUCCUGUUGGAGAGUAUUCAGAAGAACCCGUUUGUAGGAGAGCCUCGCCUGGUUGCUGCACAGGUGUAUCUCAACAUGGAGAGGUACGCAGAGGCGAAGGAAGAGGCCGAGGAAGGGCUCAAGUUGCUGCUGGAAUGGGGCAUCAGCUGGGACAAAAGGAUGACAUGGGAAUCCUGGGUGUCUUGGGGCAGGGUGAUGCUGGACAAGGCCAAGGAGAAUGAGUGGCCUCAUACUGCAGCAGGCAUCAUCAACCUGGGGCUUGUGAAAUGAGCAGUCAGAACAUCAGUAGUAUUGUGGUAAGGUAAUAAUGCAGUAGUAACGAAUAAUUGUGGGCAGCAUGUCAUGCCCUUGUCUGAAGGGGGGGAAAAAAGGAAUAAUGUUAGGCACCAUUAGCCCAUCUUAAUAAGAGUGAGUGGCAAACGUUGUUUGGCCCUAUUGUCUGAGGUGAGCCCCAGUUGCGAUUUCGAACAUCACUGAAUGGAUGCAAGUUCCUUAUAAAUUCUAGUCUGAAGUAGUUGAAGCAAUAUGAAUGAACACUGAAAGCCAUAUACAUACGGCUUAAUGAAGAUAUCACAGCAUAGGAUGGGAUGGGAGCGCAUAUGAAAUGGAAAAUACGUAUAAUACUUUCAGAUGGUAUUAUUAGCCCUGGAAAAUGGUUGAGCAAAACCAUCUGAUGUACUAUAUCACACUGACGAUGAAAACAGAAGCAGCGAGACAGUCAUUUUGAUUGCAUUGCAUGCAUGCAUGCAUCUUGGGUAACCAUGUUUCUGGGAGACCGGUUUAUUUAGAAGAUAAGUAAAAGUAAGAUAUACUGGGACAAGAUAUGAUUUGAAAGGAAGGGAAAAAAACAUAUAUUAGUCACAACAUAGCAAUCGAACCUGUGAUGUGAAGAAGCAGGUGAGGACUGAUAACAAGCUGUUUCCAUGGCUGGCGCUUGAACCAGCAGGUUAGUGCGAGGAUGAAGUCAAGCCACUAGUUGUCCGAUCCAUCCGUCCCCAAUGCAUAUGCACGCCCGCGCGCAGAAAGAGUCACCGCCGGUUGAUAGAUUCUGAUUCUGAUUGUGAUAGGAGAAUGGAGAGAACCAUUUGCGAUUAAAAUAAGGAGGAGUCGUCAUAGUCACCUGCUCUGCUCCUGUUGGUAUGUGUUGUGGAGCGGCGGCCGGCGUGUCGGCGGCGGCGCGCUCGCGAGCCUCCGGCCUUGGGACUUGCGAGGAUGGGAGGGCGUUCUCGUUUGUUACAGCCAGGCUGAUGAAAGCGCAAGGCAGGCCAGGACGGCAUCCAAUGGGCUGUCAAUCAUAAGGGCCCAUAAUUUCUGUGGGCUGCCACUCCACCACACCAGAUGUGAUGUCUAUCAAAUCUGUAAGGAAAAGAGUUCCUAAGAAAAGAAAAAAAAAACACUGUAAAGAAGAGGAGAGAGAGAGAGAGAGAAGAGGACACAAGAAGCUGGGCCCUAGCUGGUAUAAGUACGUACGUACUAUGGUCCUGUAUCGGCGGCGUGCCACCAACUACUGUACAAGCGUUGUACAUCAUCAGCUGCAUUGGCAUUUGGCAGCAUGCAUGCAUGUAUGAUGAUAUGUCUUGAUGCUAUCAGCGAUGACAUAUAUAGCUAGAGCUAGCUAGCUACCAAGGCCCAUCGAUCGGUGUCAUCCGGAUCGUCUCAGUACGUAGUAUCGUCGAUCACGAGCGGCUACCUGCAGGGUGGCACGUUGCGUACAAACACGUACGUACUACUCAACAACAAUGCAUCGACACGUGGUAUGGGUAGCCAGCCAGCAGGGUAUGCAUGGUACGUAGUAAUAACAAUCUGACUAGAGAGUACGUGCCUCCAAGACAAAGUGUCCAAAAGGCUUCGUCUUCGGCCUAUAUCUCCAUCGUCAUUCAGUUGAGCGGCGGCGCACUGAUCACUCACACUCUGCCAGCAUCCAUCCAGGCAUCCACGGCUAGGCGUCUCAUCGUCGAUCCAUCCACCAUGGCCGCCGCCACCAAGACCAAGAUGAUGAACGGCGGCGCCAACAACUCCAGCAGGGAGGAGUACUCGGAGCAGCCGCAGCACACUGAGUCGGAGUGGGAGGCCGUGUCGUCCCUGCUUGACGCCGCUCGUCCCUUCCUCCGUGGCGAGCUGGGUUCGGCGGAGGACCCGGAGCUGCCAUCCCUGGUGGCGGUGCUGCGCGCGGCGGGCGCCGGCGAGUGCUACCACAAGCACGGCACGUUCCUGGCGCACCUGGAGGACGUGUACCGGAUCCUCCGCCUGUGGGGCGCGUCCGACGCCGUGGCGCGCUGCGGCCUCUUCCACUCCUCCUACUCCAACUCCUACGUCGACCUCGCCAUCUUCCAGCCCGACACCGGCCGCGCCCAGGUGAGGGGCAUCAUCGGCGCCGACGCCGAGCGCCUCGUCCACCUCUUCUGCGUCGUCCCCAGGCACCACCUCGUGUUCCAGCAGCUCCAGCCACGGUACACGGACCAGGAGCUGAGGGACCACCUCGCCGCCGCCGAGGCCGAGGCCGAGAUCGCCCAGCAGCCGGGCGGCUUGCUGACGACGAUGUC